GCGGGGGGGGAGAAACUCGAUCUAUAAGAUGAGAAGAGAGGAGGCGGAAUUGGGGCGUAGGCUAAAGAAGAAGUUAAGAGAGAGAGGAGAUCGUGUGUUGUCGAGAUUCCGGAGGUCUCGUUCUUGACUUAGCUGCCGUAGGAGGAGAUGAAGAAGGCCGGGGUCGUCGCCGCGUCGGUUGCCGCCGCAUCUUCGGCGGCCUUCGCCUCGGGCGCCGACCGCCCCGCCACCGCCCGCCCGUCCUCCACCCCCAUCGAGGGAUCGGGAGGUUCGAGGAAGGAGACCGGAUCGAGGAGGGGAGGGGAGGAGAAGUUCGCCCCGAGAUUCGAUGGUUUGAGGUUUAUCGAGACGCUCGUCACGGCGCACAGAUGACGCCCGUCGAUUCGUCCGUCGCCGCUACGCGUAUAGUUCUUGGUGUCAUCAUCUGUAUUUUUUUGGUUUUCUUUCCUCUCCUCUUCCUCUUUUAUUAGGAGGAAGAGAGACUAAUAUAGUUUUUAUGGGGAUUUAUCACAUGAUUGGUAGCGUGAGAUGGCUACAAGUUUUGGUAGUUACAGAGUGCGUGUAAUGAUCCCACUUGGAAUAUCUCUCGCUAUAUUCUGGUUAUUCAUGGUUGGAUUUUUUUCCUAUUUCAGAAAAA
Non-coding RNA from Phoenix dactylifera (date palm), 637 nucleotides. NCBI's taxonomy places the organism in Eukaryota, Viridiplantae, Streptophyta, Magnoliopsida, Arecales, Arecaceae. The record is from RefSeq and is a predicted model, not a curated record.